UGGGGAAUAUUGCACAAUGGGCGCAAGCCUGAUGCAGCCAUGCCGCGUGUAUGAAGAAGGCCUUCGGGUUGUAAAGUACUUUCAGCGGGGAGGAAGGGAGUAAAGUUAAUACCUUUGCUCAUUGACGUUACCCGCAGAAGAAGCACCGGCUAACUCCGUGCCAGCAGCCGCGGUAAUACGGAGGGUGCAAGCGUUAAUCGGAAUUACUGGGCGUAAAGCGCACGCAGGCGGUUUGUUAAGUCAGAUGUGAAAUCCCCGGGCUCAACCUGGGAACUGCAUCUGAUACUGGCAAGCUUGAGUCUCGUAGAGGGGGGUAGAAUUCCAGGUGUAGCGGUGAAAUGCGUAGAGAUCUGGAGGAAUACCGGUGGCGAAGGCGGCCCCUGGACGAAGACUGACGCUCAGGUGCAAAAGCGUGGGGAGCAAACAGG
Molecule: ribosomal RNA, 428 nt
Filed under: Chloroflexota bacterium
Lineage: Bacteria; Bacillati; Chloroflexota
Description: Chloroflexi bacterium partial 16S ribosomal RNA
Rfam family: Bacterial small subunit ribosomal RNA
Source: RNAcentral